CCUUCAAAGUAAAAGCUGCAGCACUAAGCCACAACUUUUACUUUGAAGG
This is a microRNA precursor of Oreochromis aureus, 49 nucleotides long. NCBI's taxonomy places the organism in Eukaryota, Metazoa, Chordata, Actinopteri, Cichliformes, Cichlidae. The record is from Ensembl.